RNAcentral lists this ribosomal RNA (670 nucleotides) under uncultured bacterium. Its description in RNAcentral is "bacterial SSU rRNA". It matches the Rfam family "Bacterial small subunit ribosomal RNA", at positions 811 to 1482 of the family's 1533-position model. The record is from RNAcentral.
GUCAACUAGUUGUUCGUGUCUUUAAGACGUGAGUAACGCAGCUAACGCACUAAGUUGACCGCCUGGGGAGUACGGCCGCAAGGUUAAAACUCAAAUGAAUUGACGGGGGCCCGCACAAGCGGUGGAGCAUGUGGUUUAAUUCGAUGCAACGCGAAGAACCUUACCAUCCCUUGACAUCCAGAGAAUUUUCUAGAGAUAGAUUAGUGCCUUCGGGAACUCUGAGACAGGUGCUGCAUGGCUGUCGUCAGCUCGUGUUGUGAGAUGUUGGGUUAAGUCCCGCAACGAGCGCAACCCUUAUCCUUAGUUGCCAGCACUAAGGUGGGAACUCUAGGGAGACUGCCGGUGAUAAACCGGAGGAAGGUGGGGACGACGUCAAGUCAUCAUGGCCCUUACGGGAUGGGCUACACACGUGCUACAAUGGCGCACACAAAGGGCAGCAAGCUAGCGAUAGCAAGCGAAUCUCAAAAAGUGCGUCGUAGUCCGGAUUGGAGUCUGCAACUCGACUCCAUGAAGUCGGAAUCGCUAGUAAUCGUGGAUCAGAAUGCCACGGUGAAUACGUUCCCGGGCCUUGUACACACCGCCCGUCACACCAUGGGAGUGGGCUGCACCAGAAGUAGAUAGCUUAACCUUCGGGAGGGCGUUUACCACGGUGUGGUUCAUGACUGGGGUG